GACGAACGCUGGCGGCGUGCCUAAUACAUGCAAGUCGAGCGAAGUUUUUCUGGUGCUUGCACUAGAAAAACUUAGCGGCGAACGGGUGAGUAACACGUAAAGAACCUGCCUCAUAGACUGGGACAACUAUUGGAAACGAUAGCUAAUACCGGAUAACAGUAUUUCUCGCAUGAGAGAUAUUUAAAAGUUGGUUAUGCUAACACUAUGAGACGGCUUUGCGGUGCAUUAGCUAGUUGGUGGGGUAAAGGCCCACCAAGGCGACGAUGCAUAGCCGACCUGAGAGGGUGAUCGGCCACACUGGGACUGAGACACGGCCCAGACUCCUACGGGAGGCAGCAGUAGGGAAUCUUCCGCAAUGGGCGAAAGCCUGACGGAGCAACGCCGCGUGAGUGAAGAAGGAUUUCGGUUCGUAAAGCUCUGUUGUUAGGGAAGAAUGGAUAUGUAGUAACUAUACAUGUAAGAGACGGUACCUAACCAGAAAGCCACGGCUAACUACGUG
RNAcentral lists this ribosomal RNA (499 nucleotides) under uncultured bacterium. Its description in RNAcentral is "partial 16S ribosomal RNA". It matches the Rfam family "Bacterial small subunit ribosomal RNA", at positions 28 to 507 of the family's 1533-position model. The record is from RNAcentral.